RNAcentral lists this long non-coding RNA (212 nucleotides) under Ricinus communis (castor bean). RNAcentral's name for it is "long non-coding RNA (RCOM_LNC003705)". The record is from RNAcentral. Lineage: Eukaryota; Viridiplantae; Streptophyta; Magnoliopsida; Malpighiales; Euphorbiaceae.
UCGUUGUAGGUACUACAUUAUCCCCAACACUACUUUGUCCUCCUGAAUGGUAGGUACUCGAUGCUCCUCUACCUACCACACACUCAUUAGCAUAAUGCCCAGGUUUCCCACAUCUAUAACAAACCUGCACUCUCGGUCCCCAACACUCUCCUGAAUGGGUCCUUCCACAAGUGCCACAAACGGGUCUAUAUCCUCUACCAGUAAACCCAGAA